AACAGGAAGACCCAACAGAACUAACUGCUCUUUAUUCUCUUCUGGCCCUCUUCUCUCUUUAGCCUCAACAGAGCCUCAAGAAACACAUCUGUCAGAAGAGCUUCAGAAACCACAUGACCGAGUGCUGACAGAGACGCUACCAGAACUCACGUGCUGUCUGUUGGCAUGGAAAGGGUUCAGAAAUCUCCAAAGAUAAUGGAGCUCUGACGCUACAGAACCCAGAACCAUUCCCAAGAGAAACCCUAGACACAUACUGCUUCAAAAAUGGCCCAACGGCAAUCCCCCAAAGAUGG
Rattus rattus (black rat) is the source of this 293-nucleotide long non-coding RNA. RefSeq lists it as uncharacterized. The record is from RefSeq and is a predicted model, not a curated record. The transcript is spliced from 3 exons. Lineage: Eukaryota; Metazoa; Chordata; Mammalia; Rodentia; Muridae.